RNAcentral lists this ribosomal RNA (492 nucleotides) under uncultured bacterium. Its description in RNAcentral is "partial 16S ribosomal RNA". It matches the Rfam family "Bacterial small subunit ribosomal RNA", at positions 29 to 507 of the family's 1533-position model. The record is from RNAcentral.
AGUGAACGCUGGCGGUAGGCCUAACACAUGCCAGUCGAACGGCAGCACAGUAAGAGCUUGCUCUUACGGGUGGCGAGUGGCGGACGGGUGAGGAAUACAUCGGAAUCUACUUUUUCGUGGGGGAUAACGUAGGGAAACUUACGCUAAUACCGCAUACGACCUACGGGUGAAAGCAGGGGAUCUUCGGACCUUGCGCGAUUGAAUGAGCCGAUGUCGGAUUAGCAAGUUGGCGGGGUAAAGGCCCACCAAGGCGACGAUCCGUAGCUGGUCUGAGAGGAUGAUCAGCCACACUGGAACUGAGACACGGUCCAGACUCCUACGGGAGGCAGCAGUGGGGAAUAUUGGACAAUGGGCGCAAGCCUGAUCCAGCCAUACCGCGUGGGUGAAGAAGGCCUUCGGGUUGUAAAGCCCUUUUGUUGGGAAAGAAAAGCAGCAGGUUAAUACCCCGCUGUUCUGACGGUACCCAAAGAAUAAGCACCGGCUAACUUCGUG